GCAAGUCUGAUGGAGCAACGCCGCGUGAGUGAAGAAGGCUUUCGGGUCGUAAAACUCUGUUGUUGGAGAAGAAUGGUCGGCAGAGUAACUGUUGUCGGCGUGACGGUAUCCAACCAGAAAGCCACGGCUAACUACGUGCCAGCAGCCGCGGUAAUACGUAGGUGGCAAGCGUUAUCCGGAUUUAUUGGGCGUAAAGCGAGCGCAGGCGGUUUUUUAAGUCUGAUGUGAAAGCCCUCGGCUUAACCGAGGAAGCGCAUCGGAAACUGGGAAACUUGAGUGCAGAAGAGGACAGUGGAACUCCAUGUGUAGCGGUGAAAUGCGUAGAUAUAUGGAAGAACACCAGUGGCGAAGGCGGCUGUCUGGUCUGUAACUGACGCUGAGGCUCGAAAGCAUGGGUAGCGAACAGGAUUAGAUACCCUGGUAGUCCAUGCCGUAAACGAUGAAUGCUAGGUGUUGGAGGGUUUCCGUCCUUCAGUGCCGCAGCUAACGCAUUAAGCAUUCCGCCUGGGGAGUACGACCGCAAGGUUGAAACUCAAAGGAAUUGACGGGGGCCCGCACAAGCGGUGGAGCAUGUGGUUUAAUUCGAAGCAACGCGAAGAAACCUUACCA
Molecule: ribosomal RNA, 609 nt
Filed under: Lacticaseibacillus paracasei
Lineage: Bacteria; Bacillati; Bacillota; Bacilli; Lactobacillales; Lactobacillaceae
Description: bacterial SSU rRNA
Rfam family: Bacterial small subunit ribosomal RNA
Source: RNAcentral